Molecule: long non-coding RNA, 2280 nt
Organism: Pantherophis guttatus
Lineage: Eukaryota; Metazoa; Chordata; Lepidosauria; Squamata; Colubridae
Source: RefSeq, a predicted model, not a curated record
CCUAGCAUUCUUGGGUGGGAGUCGCACUGGGCUGGAAAAAAGGGAUACUUUGGUGUGGUUCGGGAAGGCUGCCCUUUGCAGAACGUGGAUCUGUCAGGAGCUCGGUUCUUUGGUGCCCUGGGAAAAUAAAGCUAGGAUCGGAAGUUAAAUAAUACAAUACAUUGUAUUCUGGCCAACCAUAAUAAAACAGAAGAGGAUGCAGUUUUCCAUUUGGUCUACAACGCUUGAUUUUAAAAAGUGCAAGAGGACUGAAGACAGGCUGCUUUGCGUCCGAUUUGAUUGUUUUUCAGCUUCAGCUUGAUCUGGAGAAGCGAAGGAGGGUCGCAUCUGAUUGGUAUUCGGAUAGGAGACAACCAAGAAAACCCGGGGUAAUAUUUGGACAGAGACAUUUUUUAAAAAGUUUUUCUGGAUGAAGGGAGCGGCGAGCUGUUCCGUGUUGUUGCUCAGCGGCGUGCCCAUGAAGUGCCUUGGCGCCAAGCUCCACUUCAACUUGGAUUUGUUGUCCAGCUCUAGAAUUUGGGUUUUUAUUCCUCUAAUAAUCCUACAGAGGGUUGCAAACCACUUCCUUCUUUUUCCCCCCCCCUUCGGAGCGAAAUAAUUGAAGAUCAAGAAUCAACAUCCUCUUUCAGGUGACUUAGAGACGCCAUCCUAAUAAUUGUUUUUCUUAAUUAGACCUGGCUCAAUUUAAAUCGGGUAAAAAAAACAAACACCCCUUUUUUAUUGUUCCCUGAAAAUAAAUAGAAUCUUUGUAAGCAUGAGAAAGAUUUGUUAGGGAGGGGAAGGAGCAAGUUACUUCUAUCCCUGGGUAGCCCUAGUGGAUUCUGGGUCUUGUAGUUUCCCCAAGCGUUCAAAAGCAGUUGAUUUAAGGGUGCUGCUCUAACGAAAGUGGAUCGAGGGCAGCAGACUAUCGUAAAGUGCUUAUGUGGCAAAGGGGGCAGCGCUGCAAGUUAAUAGCGCUAAGCGGCCCAAGUGUUCAGCGGUAGAGACUGCAGCGAACUCUCAGUCCCAUUUGUUCAUUUCAGGUAUUGAUUCAAACCAAGCCGGUGCGCUUCUCGCCAAGCGCGACUCUGAAACGCCGCUCUUCUUCCAGAAAUAACCACUUUUGCCUACAGUGAAAAUUUGGCCGUGAUUCUAGAUUUCCUUUUAGCCGGUCAUGAGAUCUGUUGUGUCUAACCCCAGUUAUUAUCAAAUAUCAAAGUAAAAGGGGAAGCCUUCCCGUUGCCUCUCUCUGAAUUUGGCAGGAAAGAAUUAUGAAGAAAGAAGUUAUGUUUUGGGGUUUGGUUUUGUUUUUUAGCCAGACUAGUUUUUAGGAAGGACUCUCAAGCUUCCACCAAAUUGAAAAAGGCUCCUGUUAAGACAUACAUUUUGUUGUUUGGGAAUAUUUUACAAAAUAUUUAAUUUAGAUUUAGCACAUCAAUGCCAACUUUGGGGUAUUGCUUCUGGGGCUUUAAAAUGACCAUUCUGCAACUUUGGUUGGAAAUUUAGAGAAAGGGGCAGGUACAAUUUUCCUAAUUACUAAUUCAGGCAUUAAGGCAUUAAGAUGUUUAAUUGUGAUUUGUCAAUUUGGCUGAGGUUCACACUUCUUGUAAAGCCAAAACCAACUAAAUCAUAUAGCUAUAUUAAUGUAUAAACAGUAUUUAUUUAUAAAUCAAAUUUAUACAGCUUCCCAUCUCACCUGAGGUGACUCUGGAUGGCACAAAACAAUUCUUAUUACCUUCAGGCCUCAAGAUUUUCAUUUGUGCUAGAAUAAAACAUUAGGUUCAUCAUUCAAAUAUCAAACUCCAUUUACAUACCAUUUUGUUUUCUAAGAAUGCCUCAGAGUCUGAGGGGAAACAGAAGCAUUUUCGUAAAUAAAGAUGAUGCUAGAGGGGGUUUAUGCCUUAUUUUGCAGCAUAUCUAUUUCCGUUCUUGAAAAUUAAAUCUGUGAAAGCUGGGCCUGACAAUCUGGUGGAUAUCAAGGGAUAUGCUGCAAAAUAAAGCAUAAAUUUCCUGUAACAUUGCCAUUUACAAAAAUGCUGUAAUCAAAAAUGCAAUCAACAUGCCACAAUUUGGACACUUGGCAACCAGCUCACAUUUAUGACUUCGUUACAGCAUCCCACGGUCAUGGGAUUGCUUUUUCUUUCUUUCUUUUUUUUUUUUGCUAUCUUCCAACAAAAAAAGCCUAUUGGAUAAGCUGGAUUCAAACCUACAAUCAUAUGACCAUAAUAACAGUGGUAGAAUCUACUUGAGUUCAUGACUCAACAACCACGAUUUAUAAUUAAAAUUCUGAGUUCAAUCGUG